This 59-nucleotide ribosomal RNA is filed under the name Clostridium sp. Its description in RNAcentral is "partial 16S ribosomal RNA". It matches the Rfam family "Bacterial small subunit ribosomal RNA", at positions 1 to 59 of the family's 1533-position model. Lineage: Bacteria; Bacillati; Bacillota; Clostridia; Eubacteriales; Clostridiaceae. The record is from RNAcentral.
UUUAUUGAGAGUUUGAUCCUGGCUCAGGACGAACGCUGGCGGCAUGCCUAACACAUGCA